GUAGGUGGCAAGCGUUGUCCGGAAUUAUUGGGCGUAAAGCGCGCGCAGGCGGUCCUUUAAGUCUGAUGUGAAAGCCCACGGCUCAACCGUGGAGGGUCAUUGGAAACUGGGGGACUUGAGUACAGAAGAGGAAAGCGGAAUUCCAAGUGUAGCGGUGAAAUGCGUAGAGAUUUGGAGGAACACCAGUGGCGAAGGCGGCUUUCUGGUCUGUAACUGACGCUGAGGCGCGAAAGCGUGGGGAGCGAACAGGAUUAGAUACCCUGGUAGUCCACGCCGUAAACGAUGAGUGCUAAGUGUUAGGGGGUUUCCCGCCCCCCUUAGUGCUGCAGCUAACGCAUUAAGCACUCCGCCUGGGGAGUACGGCCGCAAGGCUG
RNAcentral lists this ribosomal RNA (374 nucleotides) under uncultured organism. RNAcentral describes it as "partial 16S ribosomal RNA". It matches the Rfam family "Bacterial small subunit ribosomal RNA", at positions 527 to 896 of the family's 1533-position model. The record is from RNAcentral.